GACUGUGGCUCAGUGGUAGAGCAUCCGCUUGGAAUGCAGAAGGUCCCAGGUUCAAUCCAACUAAAAGAAUCA
This 72-nucleotide transfer RNA is filed under the name Sphaerodactylus townsendi. RNAcentral's name for it is "tRNA-Ser". Lineage: Eukaryota; Metazoa; Chordata; Lepidosauria; Squamata; Sphaerodactylidae. The record is from RNAcentral.